GUGCCAGCAGCCGCGGUAAUACGGAGGGAGCUAGCGUUGUUCGGAAUUACUGGGCGUAAAGCGUACGUAGGCGGCUUUGUAAGUCAGAGGUGAAAGCCCACGACUCAAUCGUGGAACUGCCUUUGAGACUGCUUCGCUUGAAGAUGGGAGAGGUUAGUGGAAUUCCGAGUGUAGAGGUGAAAUUCGUAGAUAUUCGGAAGAACACCAGUGGCGAAGGCGGCUAACUGGACCAUUCUUGACGCUGAGGUACGAAAGCGUGGGGAGCAAACAGGAUUAGAUACCCUGGUAGUCC
This 292-nucleotide ribosomal RNA is filed under the name uncultured microorganism. Its description in RNAcentral is "partial 16S ribosomal RNA". It matches the Rfam family "Bacterial small subunit ribosomal RNA", at positions 505 to 796 of the family's 1533-position model. The record is from RNAcentral.